Molecule: ribosomal RNA, 451 nt
Filed under: uncultured bacterium
Lineage: Bacteria
Description: partial 16S ribosomal RNA
Rfam family: Bacterial small subunit ribosomal RNA
Source: RNAcentral
GAUGAACGCUGGCGGCGUGCCUAACACAUGCAAGUCGAGCGGCAGCGAGGGGUGCUUGCACCCUGUCGGCGAGCGGCGGACGGCUGAGUAACGCGUGGGAACGUGCCCCAAAGUGAGGAAUAACUGCCCGAAAGGGUAGCUAAUACCGCAUAUUAUCUUCGGAUCAAAGGAUUUAUCCGCUUUGGGAGCGGCUCGCGUCGGAUUAGGUAGUUGGUGAGGUAAUGGCUCACCAAGCCGACGAUCCGUAGCUGGUCUGAGAGGAUGACCAGCCAGACUGGAACUGAGACACGGUCCAGACUCCUACGGGAGGCAGCAGUGAGGAAUCUUCCACAGUGGGCGAAAGCCUGAUGGAGCAACGCCGCGUGCAGGACGAAGGCCUUCGGGUUGUAAACUGCUUUUAUAAGUGAGGAAUAUGACGGUAACUUAUGAAUAAGGAUCGGCUAACUGCGUG